UACGAAGGGGGCUAGCGUUGUUCGGAAUCACUGGGCGUAAAGGGCGCGUAGGCGGCCGAUCAAGUCGGGGGUGAAAGCCUGUGGCUCAACCACAGAAUUGCCUUCGAUACUGUUUGGCUUGAGACCGGAAGAGGUUAGUGGAACUGCGAGUGUAGAGGUGAAAUUCGUAGAUAUUCGCAAGAACACCAGUGGCGAAGGCGGCUCACUGGCCCGGUACUGACGCUGAGAUACGAAAGCGUGGGGAGCAAACAGG
RNAcentral lists this ribosomal RNA (253 nucleotides) under uncultured bacterium. Its description in RNAcentral is "partial 16S ribosomal RNA". It matches the Rfam family "Bacterial small subunit ribosomal RNA", at positions 524 to 776 of the family's 1533-position model. The record is from RNAcentral.